UACGUAGGGUGCAAGCGUUGUCCGGAAUUAUUGGGCGUAAAGGGCUCGUAGGCGGUCCAUCACGUCGGGAGUGAAAAGCUGGGGCUUAACCCCAGUCCUGCUUCCGAUACGGGUGGACUAGAGGUAGGCAGGGGAGAACGGAAUUCCUGGUGUAGCGGUGAAAUGCGCAGAUAUCAGGAGGAACACCGGUGGCGAAGGCGGGACUCUGGGCCGAUACUGACGCUGAGGAGCGAAAGCGUGGGGAGCGAACAGG
This 253-nucleotide ribosomal RNA is filed under the name uncultured bacterium. RNAcentral's name for it is "partial 16S ribosomal RNA". It matches the Rfam family "Bacterial small subunit ribosomal RNA", at positions 524 to 776 of the family's 1533-position model. The record is from RNAcentral.